UGAAGAUGCGGUGUACCCGCGGCUAGACGGAAAGACCCCGUGAACCUUUACUGCAGCUUGACAUUGAACUUUGAUCUUACUUGUGUAGGAUAGGUGGGAGGCUUUGAAGUCGCGACGCUAGUUGCGAUGGAGCCGUCCUUGAAAUACCACCCUGGUAAUAUUGAGGUUCUAACUCUGUCCCGUUAUCCGGGACGAGGACCAUGUCUGGUGGGUAGUUUGACUGGGGCGGUCUCCUCCUAAAGAGUAACGGAGGAGUACGAAGGUGCGCUCAGCGUGGUCGGAAAUCACGCGUAGAGUAUAAAGGCAAAAGCGCGCUUAACUGCGAGACCCACAAGUCGAGCAGGUACGAAAGUAGGUCUUAGUGAUCCGGUGGUUCUGUAUGGAAGGGCCAUCGCUCAACGGAUAAAAGGUACUCUGGGGAUAACAGGCUGAUACCGCCCAAGAGUUCAUAUCGACGGCGGUGUUUGGCACCUCGAUGUCGGCUCAUCUCAUCCUGGGGCUGAAGCAGGUCCCAAGGGUAUGGCUGUUCGCCAUUUAAAGAGGUACGCGAGCUGGGUUUAGAACGUCGUGAGACAGUUCGGUCCCUAUCUACCGUGGGCGUUGGAAAUUUGAGAGGAUCUGCUCCUAGUACGAGAGGACCAGAGUGGACGAACCUCUGGUGUACCGGUUGUGACGCCAGUCGCAUCGCCGGGUAGCUAUGUUCGGAAGGGAUAACCGCUGAAAGCAUCUAAGCGGGAAGCCUACCUCAAGAUAAGAUUUCCCCGAGACUUUAUGUCUCCUAAAGAGCCGUUGAAGACUACGACGUUGAUAGGUUGGAUGUGGAAGCAUAGUGAUAUGUGAAGCUGACCAAUACUAAUUGCUCGUGAGGCUUGACUAUACAACACCCAAGCAGUUG
This 895-nucleotide ribosomal RNA is filed under the name Acinetobacter sp. YT-02. Its description in RNAcentral is "bacterial LSU rRNA". It matches the Rfam family "Bacterial large subunit ribosomal RNA", at positions 2054 to 2925 of the family's 2925-position model. Lineage: Bacteria; Pseudomonadati; Pseudomonadota; Gammaproteobacteria; Moraxellales; Moraxellaceae. The record is from RNAcentral.